Molecule: ribosomal RNA, 389 nt
Filed under: uncultured bacterium
Lineage: Bacteria
Description: bacterial SSU rRNA
Rfam family: Bacterial small subunit ribosomal RNA
Source: RNAcentral
GACGAACGCUGGCGGCGUGCUUAACACAUGCAAGUCGAGCGGUAAGGCCCUUUCGGGGGUACACGAGCGGCGAACGGGUGAGUAACACGUGGGUGACCUGCCUUUAGCUCUGGGAUAAGCCUGGGAAACUGGGCCUAAUACCGGAUAUGACUCCAUGAUGCAUGUUGUGGGGUGGAAAGCCUUGUGCGGCUGGAGAUGGGCCCGCGGCCUAUCAGCUUGUUGGUGGGGUGAUGGCCUACCAAGGCGACGACGGGUAGCCGGCCUGAGAGGGCGACCGGCCACACUGGGACUGAGACACGGCCCAGACUCCUACGGGAGGCAGCAGUGGGGAAUCUUGCGCAAUGGGCGAAAGCCUGACGCAGCGACGCCGCGUGAGGGAUGACGGCCUC